RNAcentral lists this transfer RNA (73 nucleotides) under Pseudomonadota bacterium. RNAcentral's name for it is "tRNA-Thr". It matches the Rfam family "tRNA". From Rfam's summary of the family: Transfer RNA (tRNA) molecules are approximately 80 nucleotides in length. RNAcentral also lists the same sequence under 1 other name. Lineage: Bacteria; Pseudomonadati; Pseudomonadota. The record is from RNAcentral.
GCCGCCGUAGCUCAGUUGGUAGAGCGCAUCCAUGGUAAGGAUGAGGUCCCCGGUUCGAUCCCGGGCGGCGGCU